This 2794-nucleotide ribosomal RNA is filed under the name Klebsiella pneumoniae. RNAcentral describes it as "partial 23S ribosomal RNA". It matches the Rfam family "Bacterial large subunit ribosomal RNA". The record is from RNAcentral. Lineage: Bacteria; Pseudomonadati; Pseudomonadota; Gammaproteobacteria; Enterobacterales; Enterobacteriaceae.
GGUUAAGCGACUAAGCGUACACGGUGGAUGCCCUGGCAGUCAGAGGCGAUGAAGGACGUGCUAAUCUGCGAAAAGCGUCGGUAAGGUGAUAUGAACCGUUACAGCCGGCGAUGUCCGAAUGGGGAAACCCAGUGUGAUUCGUCACACUAUCGUUAACUGAAUACAUAGGUUAACGAGGCGAACCGGGGGAACUGAAACAUCUAAGUACCCCGAGGAAAAGAAAUCAACCGAGAUUCCCCCAGUAGCGGCGAGCGAACGGGGAGCAGCCCAGAGUCUGAAUCAGCUUGUGUGUUAGUGGAACGGUCUGGAAAGUCCGACGGUACAGGGUGAUAGUCCCGUACACCAAAAUGCACAGGCUGUGAACUCGAAGAGUAGGGCGGGACACGUGGUAUCCUGUCUGAAUAUGGGGGGACCAUCCUCCAAGGCUAAAUACUCCUGACUGACCGAUAGUGAACCAGUACCGUGAGGGAAAGGCGAAAAGAACCCCGGCGAGGGGAGUGAAAAAGAACCUGAAACCGUGUACGUACAAGCAGUGGGAGCACCUUCGGGUGUGACUGCGUACCUUUUGUAUAAUGGGUCAGCGACUUAUAUUCUGUAGCAAGGUUAACCGUAUAGGGGAGCCGCAGGGAAACCGAGUCUUAACUGGGCGUUAAGUUGCAGGGUAUAGACCCGAAACCCGGUGAUCUAGCCAUGGGCAGGUUGAAGGUUGGGUAACACUAACUGGAGGACCGAACCGACUAAUGUUGAAAAAUUAGCGGAUGACUUGUGGCUGGGGGUGAAAGGCCAAUCAAACCGGGAGAUAGCUGGUUCUCCCCGAAAGCUAUUUAGGUAGCGCCUCGUGAACUCAUCUUCGGGGGUAGAGCACUGUUUCGGCUAGGGGGUCAUCCCGACUUACCAACCCGAUGCAAACUACGAAUACCGAAGAAUGUUAUCACGGGAGACACACGGCGGGUGCUAACGUCCGUCGUGAAGAGGGAAACAACCCAGACCGCCAGCUAAGGUCCCAAAGUCAUGGUUAAGUGGGAAACGAUGUGGGAAGGCACAGACAGCCAGGAUGUUGGCUUAGAAGCAGCCAUCAUUUAAAGAAAGCGUAAUAGCUCACUGGUCGAGUCGGCCUGCGCGGAAGAUGUAACGGGGCUAAACCAUGCACCGAAGCUGCGGCAGCGACACUAUGUGUUGUUGGGUAGGGGAGCGUUCUGUAAGCCUGCGAAGGUGUGCUGUGAGGCAUGCUGGAGGUAUCAGAAGUGCGAAUGCUGACAUAAGUAACGAUAAAGCGGGUGAAAAGCCCGCUCGCCGGAAGACCAAGGGUUCCUGUCCAACGUUAAUCGGGGCAGGGUGAGUCGACCCCUAAGGCGAGGCCGAAAGGCGUAGUCGAUGGGAAACAGGUUAAUAUUCCUGUACUUGGUGUUACUGCGAAGGGGGGACGGAGAAGGCUAUGUUAGCCGGGCGACGGUUGUCCCGGUUUAAGCAUGUAGGCUGGUUAUCCAGGCAAAUCCGGAUAAUCAAGGCUGAGGUGUGAUGACGAGGCACUACGGUGCUGAAGUAACAAAUGCCCUGCUUCCAGGAAAAGCCUCUAAGCAUCAGGUAACAUCAAAUCGUACCCCAAACCGACACAGGUGGUCAGGUAGAGAAUACCAAGGCGCUUGAGAGAACUCGGGUGAAGGAACUAGGCAAAAUGGUGCCGUAACUUCGGGAGAAGGCACGCUGGUGUGUAGGUGAAGUCCCUGCGGAUGGAGCUGAGACCAGUCGAAGAUACCAGCUGGCUGCAACUGUUUAUUAAAAACACAGCACUGUGCAAACACGAAAGUGGACGUAUACGGUGUGACGCCUGCCCGGUGCCGGAAGGUUAAUUGAUGGGGUUAUCCGUAAGGAGAAGCUCUUGAUCGAAGCCCCGGUAAACGGCGGCCGUAACUAUAACGGUCCUAAGGUAGCGAAAUUCCUUGUCGGGUAAGUUCCGACCUGCACGAAUGGCGUAAUGAUGGCCAGGCUGUCUCCACCCGAGACUCAGUGAAAUUGAACUCGCUGUGAAGAUGCAGUGUACCCGCGGCAAGACGGAAAGACCCCGUGAACCUUUACUAUAGCUUGACACUGAACAUUGAGCCUUGAUGUGUAGGAUAGGUGGGAGGCUUUGAAGCGUGGACGCCAGUCUGCGUGGAGCCAACCUUGAAAUACCACCCUUUAAUGUUUGAUGUUCUAACGUUGGCCCCUGACCGGGGUUGCGGACAGUGUCUGGUGGGUAGUUUGACUGGGGCGGUCUCCUCCCAAAGCGUAACGGAGGAGCACGAAGGUUAGCUAAUCCUGGUCGGACAUCAGGAGGUUAGUGCAAUGGCAUAAGCUAGCUUGACUGCGAGCGUGACGGCGCGAGCAGGUGCGAAAGCAGGUCAUAGUGAUCCGGUGGUUCUGAAUGGAAGGGCCAUCGCUCAACGGAUAAAAGGUACUCCGGGGAUAACAGGCUGAUACCGCCCAAGAGUUCAUAUCGACGGCGGUGUUUGGCACCUCGAUGUCGGCUCAUCACAUCCUGGGGCUGAAGUAGGUCCCAAGGGUAUGGCUGUUCGCCAUUUAAAGUGGUACGCGAGCUGGGUUUAGAACGUCGUGAGACAGUUCGGUCCCUAUCUGCCGUGGGCGCUGGAGAAUUGAGGGGGGCUGCUCCUAGUACGAGAGGACCGGAGUGGACGCAUCACUGGUGUUCGGGUUGUCAUGCCAAUGGCACUGCCCGGUAGCUAAAUGCGGAAGAGAUAAGUGCUGAAAGCAUCUAAGCACGAAACUUGCCCCGAGAUGAGUUCUCCCUGAGACU